This 253-nucleotide ribosomal RNA is filed under the name uncultured bacterium. RNAcentral describes it as "partial 16S ribosomal RNA". It matches the Rfam family "Bacterial small subunit ribosomal RNA", at positions 524 to 776 of the family's 1533-position model. The record is from RNAcentral.
UACGUAGGGGGCGAGCGUUGUCCGGAGUUACUGGGCGUAAAGGGCAUGCAGGCGGUCCGACACGUUUUGUGUGACAGCGGGUGGCUUAACUACCCGAGGAUACGAAAGACGGUUGGACUUGAGGACUCGAGAGGGACACGGAAUUCCGGGUGGAGUGGUGAAAUGCGUAGAGAUCCGGAGGAACACCGAAGGCGAAGGCAGUGUCCUGGCGAGUGACUGACGCUGAGGCGCGACAGCGUGGGGAGCAAACAGG